Long non-coding RNA from Uranotaenia lowii, 1019 nucleotides. RefSeq lists it as uncharacterized. The transcript is spliced from 3 exons. Lineage: Eukaryota; Metazoa; Arthropoda; Insecta; Diptera; Culicidae. The record is from RefSeq and is a predicted model, not a curated record.
AGUAAAAUUCUCGAAAUUGUAUGGGCAAGUAGAGCACAAAUGAAAGUGAAUUUGGUCUUUGAUGGACUCUUCGAAUUUAAAGGUUUGCAUAUAAUUUAAAUUAAGUGUUUUUGUUUGGUAACUGUUAAUACAAACUUAUAUUGGUCGUCCGUUUCAUUUCUUGUUCCUUCUCUGAAAAUCCAACCAGAUCCCACCUGUGGAACGUUCCGAUAUCAGAACCGUUCCUGACCUUGUUUCAACAAAGAGAUCAGUGAUCCAAUCCACCGGAAGCCAAAUUUGGUGCAUUCCGGCAGCACAACCUAAAAUUUGGAAUAUGAGGUUUAAUUAUAAAAUAAUUUGCGUUUGAUAUGAUUGACACUCGACGAAUUAACAGCGAGGGUUCCGUUUUCUAAAGAUGAUGGGCCAUUAAAGGCGGCGUUCAAACCGGUCAUUCCGACGGAAGAACAUUUUUCAAAUAAAAAAAUGAAAUUCCUACUCCCGAAACCGCUCAAACAAACAAAAUUUAUUUACCUAGCUUUCUGGCAUCUCUGCGCCUCGAAAUAUACACCCAAAAUAAUUUAGAAAUUUAUUCUACGGUAUUUUUCACGUAAACGAAGAUUUUGUUGCAUCUGAUCGAUUCUACGUGAUUUUGUAAUACCUUCAUUCCUUCCUCAUAGACGACACAUGAAAUUCACGUAAAGUCUUAGUGAAUUCAAUUUUUUCAUUUUUCUCAAGCGUAUGGUUGAAAAUUCUUAUUAGAAAAAGCUGAUUUUGUUAGCCGUCGUCAAAAAUGUUUUUGUCAGUUGACAAAGGAAUUUGUUCUCAAUCGUCUUGAAUCUUGCAUAUGUCUUCUGUAAUCGCUGUGGCUGCAAGUGCCCUUUCGUUGGAACUGGUGGUGGUCAUUCGUUCUUUGGUUCGAGUCCCACCGUAGGAUGUCCGGGUUAAACGAAACGAAAUUACGCAAGGAUCCCACAAAGCAACUCGCCGGCCAAAGGUCCCGCAUUUUGUUUAGAUCACGAAUUUAGUAUAGUGUGUGGCGA